UUGUUGGUAAGGUAAAAGCUUACCAAGGCUUCGAUCAGUAGCUGGUCUGAGAGGACGACCAGCCACACUGGGACUGAGACACGGCCCAGACUCCUACGGGAGGCAGCAGUGGGGAAUUUUGGACAAUGGGGGCAACCCUGAUCCAGCCAUGCCGCGUGAGUGAAGAAGGCCUUCGGGUUGUAAAGCUCUUUCAGCCGGAACGAAACGGUUACGGUUAAUACCUGUGACUACUGACGGUACCGGAAGAAGAAGCACCGGCUAACUACGUGCCAGCAGCCGCGGUAAUACGUAGGGUGCGAGCGUUAAUCGGAAUUACUGGGCGUAAAGCGUGCGCAGGUGGUUUUGUAAGUCAGAUGUGAAAGCCCCGGGCUCAACCUGGGAACUGCGUUUGAAACUACAAGACUAGAGUGUGGCAGAGGGGGGUGGAAUUCCGCGUGUAGCAGUGAAAUGCGUAGAGAUGUGGAGGAACACCGAUGGCGAAGGCAGCCCCCUGGGUCAACACUGACGCUCAGGCACGAAAGCAUGGGGAGCAAACAGGAUUAGAUACCCUGGUAGUCCAUGCCCUAAACGAUGUCAACUAGUUGUCGGGCCUUUACGGGCUUGGUAACGUAGCUAACGCGUGAAGUUGACCGCCUGGGGAGUACGAUCGCAAGAUUAAAACUCAAAUGAAUUGACGGGGACCCGCACAAGCGGUGGAUUAUGUGGAUUAAUUCGAUGCAACGCGAAAAACCUUACCUACCCUUGACAUGUAUCGAAGCCCGCAGAAAAGCGGGGGUGCCCGAAAGGGAACGAUAACACAGGUGCUGCAUGGCUGUCGUCAGCUCGUGUCGUGAGAUGUUGGGUUAAGUCCCGCAACGAGCGCAACCCUUGUCAUUAAUUGCCAUCAUUUAGUUGGGCACUUUAAUGAGACUGCCGG
RNAcentral lists this ribosomal RNA (916 nucleotides) under uncultured bacterium. RNAcentral's name for it is "bacterial SSU rRNA". It matches the Rfam family "Bacterial small subunit ribosomal RNA", at positions 246 to 1155 of the family's 1533-position model. The record is from RNAcentral.